UGCAACCAUGUUCUUCAUCUUGAUGAUUUUCAUGGCGAUGUCAUUGCCACCCAUUUAUGCUUGUGGUCCAUGUACUCAGCCACAUCCACCGACGCGCCGCCCAACCCACCCAAAAGUUCCCUACCCGAAACCACCAGCCACCAAGCACCCACCAAACAGUGGAGGCCAUCCACCUUCAAAAAACCCCCCAAUGCCACCGAUAGUACUACCACCAAUAAUCAUUAAUCCUCCCCCAGUAAUAUCUCCUCCCGUAACAAAUCCUCCUGUAAUUAUAACACCCCCGAUAACACCGCCACCUUCUUCGAGCUACCCACCGUACACUGGCGGCCCUCCUGGUGGCGGGGGUGGUGGUGGAGGAGGAGGUGGUAGUAGUAAUCCUCCACCUACUACUCAACCAACUUGUCCAAUCAAUGCACUUAAGCUAGGAGCUUGUGUUGAUGCGCUAGGAGGUUUGGUGCAUGUUGGGUUAGGGAAUCCAGUUGAAAAUGUUUGCUGCCCUGUACUAAAAGGACUGCUGGAGCUUGAAGCAGCUGUUUGUCUUUGCACUAGUAUACACCUUAAGCUCCUUAAUCUCAAUAUUUUCAUUCCUAUUGCUCUUCAAGUCCUAAUAACUUGUGGAAAGACUCCACCUCCUGGAUUUGUAUGUCCUCCUCUUUGAAAUUUUACUUCAUUAAUAAGAUGAGUUAUGGAUUAUUAGGUUAAAUGGUCCCUUGUUUUGGUGGUAGGAUUUGUGUUAGUGUUGUGACUUGAUUUGCUGUUUCGUUCUUCGUAGUGCUCAACUGCCAACUUUGAUUCUGGUGGAAUACGACUGGG
Molecule: unclassified non-coding RNA, 813 nt
Filed under: Hevea brasiliensis (rubber tree)
Lineage: Eukaryota; Viridiplantae; Streptophyta; Magnoliopsida; Malpighiales; Euphorbiaceae
Source: RNAcentral